AAGGCCCGGGAACUCAAAGGAGACUGCCAGUGAUAAACUGGAGGAAGGUGGGGAUGACGUCAAGUCAUCAUGGCCCUUACGACCAGGGCUACACACGUGCUACAAUGGCGCAUACAAAGAGAAGCAAUCUCGCGAGAGCUAGCGGACCUCAUAAAGUGCGUCGUAGUCCGGAUUGGAGUCUGCAACUCGACUCCAUGAAGUCGGAAUCGCUAGUAAUCGUAGAUCAGAAUGCUACGGUGAAUACGUUCCCGGGCCUUGUACACACCG
Molecule: ribosomal RNA, 267 nt
Filed under: uncultured bacterium
Lineage: Bacteria
Description: partial 16S ribosomal RNA
Rfam family: Bacterial small subunit ribosomal RNA
Source: RNAcentral